GGAUGUGAGGGCAGUCUGACUGCGAUGCAUGCUACCCCGUGGAUCACCAGGUCUGGCUAUGCGGCUGUCCCCUUCCUCACCACUUGGUGUGCAUCCCUCCAAAGCUGAGCGCUCUGUUGAAGAGGGCAGCCAGCCCCAAUAGAAGGGGAGCCGUUUCCUCAGUCAAGGAUGUACAAGUAGCUGCGCGCCCCUGCUAGAACCUCCAAACAAGCUCUCGAAGACAGCUGGGUUUUACAUACUUGUCAACCUUCCCUCUUUCUCAUCAGGCUAGGAAAGAUGGUAAACAUUUCAUUGUCU
This 297-nucleotide small nuclear RNA is filed under the name Chinchilla lanigera (long-tailed chinchilla). RNAcentral describes it as "7SK RNA (ENSCLAG00000022179.1)". It matches the Rfam family "7SK RNA". From Rfam's summary of the family: 7SK was discovered as an abundant small nuclear RNA in the mid-70s but a possible function has only recently been suggested. The record is from RNAcentral. Lineage: Eukaryota; Metazoa; Chordata; Mammalia; Rodentia; Chinchillidae.